GGAUGAACGCUAGCGGCAGGCUUAAUACAUGCAAGUCGAACGGUAACAGGCGGUAGCAAUACUGUGCUGACGAGUGGCGCACGGGUGCGUAACACGUAUGCAACUUACCCUUUACCGGGGCAUAACCUGUUGAAAGACGGGCUAAUUCCCCAUAGUAUUAUAGAGAGGCAUCUUUUUAUAAUUAAAGAUUUAUCAGUAAAGGAUGGGCAUGCGCCCCAUUAGUUAGUUGGUAAGGUAACGGCUUACCAAGGCAGUGAUGGGUAGGGGUUCUGAGAGGAUUGGCCCCCACACUGGUACUGAGACACGGACCAGACUCCUACGGGAGGCAGCAGUAAGGAAUAUUGGGCAAUGGGCGGGAGCCUGACCCAGCCAUGCCGCGUGCAGGAAGACGGCCUUAUGGGUUGUAAACUGCUUUUUUAUGGGAAUAACCUCUCCGACGAGUCGGGGACUGCAAGUACCAUAGGAAUAAGCAUCGGCUAACUCCGUGCCAGCAGCCGCGGUAAUACGGAGGAUGCAAGCGUUAUUCGGAAUUAUUGGGUUUAAAGGGUGCGUAGGCGGGAUUGUAAGUCAGUGGUGAAAUACCCGGGCUUAACCUGGGGGCUGCCAUUGAAACUGCGGUUCUUGAGUUUAGUUGAUGUUGGCGGAAUGUGUCAUGUAGCGGUGAAAUGCAUAGAUAUGACACAGAACACCGAUAGCGAAGGCAGCUGACAAAACUAUUACUGACGCUGAUGCACGAAAGCGUGGGGAUCAAACAGGAUUAGAUACCCUGGUAGUCCACGCCGUAAACGAUGAUCACUAGUUGUUGCAAUGCUCGUCAUUGCAGCAAUACAGUUAACACAUUAAGUGUGCCGCCUGGGGAGUACGGUCGCAAGAUUAAAACUCAAAGGAAUAGACGGGGACCCGCACAAGCGGUGGAGCAUGUGGUUUAAUUCGAAGAUACGCGAAGAACCUUACCUAGACUUGAAAUCCUUAGAAUCCUGCAGAGAUGCGGGAGUGCUUGUUUACAAGAGCUAAGUGACAGGUGCUGCACGGCUGUCGUCAGCUCGUGUCGUGAGAUGUUGGGUUAAGUCCCGCAACGAGCGCAACCCUCGUGUUUAGUUGCUAACAGUUCGGCUGAGCACUCUAAACAGACUGCCCUCGUAAGGAGGAGGAAGGUGAGGACGACGUCAAGUCAUCAUGGCCCUUAUGUCUAGGGCUACACACGUGCUACAAUGGUUGGGACAAAGAGCAGCAAUACCGCGAGGUGGAGCAAAUCUUAAAACCCAAUCUUAGUUCGGAUUGGAGUCUGCAACUCGACUCCAUGAAGCUGGAAUCGCUAGUAAUCGUAGAUCAGCAAUGCUACGGUGAAUACGUUCCCGGUCUGACUCACCG
This 1371-nucleotide ribosomal RNA is filed under the name uncultured bacterium. RNAcentral's name for it is "bacterial SSU rRNA". It matches the Rfam family "Bacterial small subunit ribosomal RNA", at positions 27 to 1392 of the family's 1533-position model. The record is from RNAcentral.